This 699-nucleotide ribosomal RNA is filed under the name uncultured bacterium. RNAcentral describes it as "bacterial SSU rRNA". It matches the Rfam family "Bacterial small subunit ribosomal RNA", at positions 8 to 696 of the family's 1533-position model. The record is from RNAcentral.
AGAGUUUGAUCCUGGCUCAGAUUGAACGCUGGCGGCAUGCCUAACACAUGCAAGUCGAACGGAAACGAUGGGAGCUUGCUCCCAGGCGUCGAGUGGCGGACGGGUGAGUAAUACUUAGGAAUCUACCCAGUAGCGGGGGACAACUCGAGGAAACUCGAGCUAAUACCGCAUACGCCCUACGGGGGAAAGCAGGGGAUCUUCGGACCUUGCACUAUUGGAUGAGCCUAAGUCGGAUUAGCUUGUUGGUGAGGUAAAGGCUCACCAAGGCGACGAUCCGUAGCUGGUCUGAGAGGACGAUCAGCCACACUGGGACUGAGACACGGCCCAGACUCCUACGGGAGGCAGCAGUGGGGAAUAUUGGACAAUGGGGGCAACCCUGAUCCAGCAAUGCCGCGUGUGUGAAGAAGGCCUGCGGGUUGUAAAGCACUUUCAGUAGAGAAGAAAAGCCCACGGCUAAUACCCGUGAGUCUUGACGUUACCUACAGAAGAAGCUCCGGCUAACUCCGUGCCAGCAGCCGCGGUAAUACGGAGGGAGCGAGCGUUAAUCGGAAUUACUGGGCGUAAAGCGCGCGUAGGCGGCUUUGUAAGUCGGAUGUGAAAGCCCUGGGCUCAACCUGGGAAUGGCAUUCGAUACUGCAGAGCUAGAGUAUGGUUAGAGGGAAGUGGUAAUUUCCGGUGUAGCGGUGAAAUGCGUAGAUA